RNAcentral lists this ribosomal RNA (211 nucleotides) under uncultured bacterium. RNAcentral's name for it is "partial 16S ribosomal RNA". It matches the Rfam family "Bacterial small subunit ribosomal RNA", at positions 114 to 334 of the family's 1533-position model. The record is from RNAcentral.
CGCGUAGGGAUUUAUCGUUGGGCGGGGGAUAACCGCGGGAAACUGCGGCUAAUACCGCAUGACGCCUGUGGGCCAAAGCCGCUGUGAGGUGGUGCCUGAUGAGGAGCCUGCGUCCGAUUAGCUAGUAGGUUGGGUAAUGGCUGACCUAGGCUGUGAUCGGUAGCUGGUCUGAGAGGAUGAUCAGCCACACUGGGACUGAGACACGGCCCAG